RNAcentral lists this ribosomal RNA (106 nucleotides) under Erinaceus europaeus (western European hedgehog). The record is from RNAcentral. Lineage: Eukaryota; Metazoa; Chordata; Mammalia; Eulipotyphla; Erinaceidae.
GUCUACAGCCAUACCACCCUGAACACGCCCAAUCUCAUCUGAUCUCGGAAGGUAAGCAGAGUCGGGCCUGGUUAGUACUUGUAUGGGAAAAUGACCCAUGUGGACU